Molecule: ribosomal RNA, 429 nt
Filed under: Chloroflexota bacterium
Lineage: Bacteria; Bacillati; Chloroflexota
Description: Chloroflexi bacterium partial 16S ribosomal RNA
Rfam family: Bacterial small subunit ribosomal RNA
Source: RNAcentral
UGGGGAAUAUUGCACAAUGGGCGCAAGCCUGAUGCAGCCAUGCCGCGUGUAUGAAGAAGGCCUUCGGGUUGUAAAGUACUUUCAGUCGGGAGGAAGGUGGUAAGGUUAAUAACCUUAUCAAUUGACGUUACCGACAGAAGAAGCACCGGCUAACUCCGUGCCAGCAGCCGCGGUAAUACGGAGGGUGCAAGCGUUAAUCGGAUUUACUGGGCGUAAAGCGCACGCAGGCGGUUGAUUGAGUCAGAUGUGAAAUCCCCGGGCUUAACCCGGGAAUUGCAUCUGAUACUGGUCAGCUAGAGUCUUGUAGAGGGGGGUAGAAUUCCAGGUGUAGCGGUGAAAUGCGUAGAGAUCUGGAGGAAUACCGGUGGCGAAGGCGGCCCCCUGGACAAAGACUGACGCUCAGGUGCGAAAGCGUGGGGAGCAAACAGG